RNAcentral lists this ribosomal RNA (513 nucleotides) under Solicoccozyma terricola. RNAcentral describes it as "LSU rRNA". It matches the Rfam family "Eukaryotic large subunit ribosomal RNA", at positions 100 to 617 of the family's 3401-position model. The record is from RNAcentral. Lineage: Eukaryota; Fungi; Basidiomycota; Tremellomycetes; Filobasidiales; Piskurozymaceae.
GGGAAGAGCUCAAAUUUGAAAUCUGAUGGCCUCAGGCUAUCCGAGUUGUAAUCUAUAGAAACAUUUUCCGCGUUGGCCCAUGUACAAGUCUCUUGGAAUAGAGCGUCAUAGAGGGUGAGAAUCCCGUCCUUGACAUGGACUACCAGUGCUUUGUGAUAUGUUUUCAACGAGUCGAGUUGUUUGGGAAUGCAGCUCAAAAUGGGUGGUAAAUUCCAUCUAAAGCUAAAUAUUGGCGAGAGACCGAUAGCGAACAAGUACCGUGAGGGAAAGAUGAAAAGCACUUUGGAAAGAGAGUUAAACAGUAUGUGAAAUUGUUGAAAGGGAAACGAUUGAAGUCAGUCGUGUCUAUUGGACUCAGCCGGUUCUGCCGGUGUACUUCCUUUAGACGGGGUCAACAUCAGUUUUGAUCGCUGGAAAAGGGCAGGAGGAAUGUAGCACUCUCGGGUGAACUUAUAGCCUCUUGUCGUAUACAGUGGUUGGGACUGAGGAACGCAGCUUGCCUUUAUGGCCGGG